UGGGGAAUAUUGGACAAUGGGGGGAACCCUGAUCCAGCCAUGCCGCGUGUGUGAAGAAGGCCUUAUGGUUGUAAAGCACUUUAAGCGAGGAGGAGGGUACUGGUAUUAAUACUACCAGGUACUGGACGUUACUCGCAGAAUAAGCACCGGCUAACUCUGUGCAGCAGCCGCGGUAAUACAGAGGGUGCGAGCGUUAAUCGGAUUUACUGGGCGUAAAGCGUGCGUAGGCGGCUAAUUGAGUCGGAUGUGAAAUCCCCGAGCUUAACUUGGGAAUUGCAUUCGAUACUGGUUAGCUAGAGUGUGGGAGAGGAUGGUAGAAUUCCAGGUGUAGCGGUGAAAUGCGUAGAGAUCUGGAGGAAUACCGAUGGCGAAGGCAGCCAUCUGGCCUAACACUGACGCUGAGGUACGAAAGCAUGGGGAGCAAACAGG
RNAcentral lists this ribosomal RNA (429 nucleotides) under Pseudomonadota bacterium. Its description in RNAcentral is "Proteobacteria bacterium partial 16S ribosomal RNA". It matches the Rfam family "Bacterial small subunit ribosomal RNA", at positions 355 to 776 of the family's 1533-position model. The record is from RNAcentral. Lineage: Bacteria; Pseudomonadati; Pseudomonadota.